AGUAGAGUUUGAUCAUGGUUCAGAUUGAACGCUGGCGGCAGGCUUAACACAUGCAAGUCGAACGAAGUUAGGAAGCUUGCUUCUGAUACUUAGUGGCGGACGGGUGAGUAAUGCUUAGGAAUCUGCCUAGUAGUGGGGGAUAACUUGGGGAAACCCAAGCUAAUACCGCAUACGACCUACGGGUGAAAGGGGGCGCAAGCUCUCGCUAUUAGAUGAGCCUAAGUCGGAUUAGCUAGUUGGUGGGGUAAAGGCCUACCAAGGCGACGAUCUGUAGCUGGUCUGAGAGGAUGAUCAGCCACACUGGGACUGAGACACGGCCCAGACUCCUACGGGAGGCAGCAGUGGGGAAUAUUGGACAAUGGGCGAAAGCCUGAUCCAGCCAUGCCGCGUGUGUGAAGAAGGCCUUUUGGUUGUAAAGCACUUUAAGUGGGGAGGAAAAGCUUAUGGUUAAUACCCAUAAGCCCUGACGUUACCCACAGAAUAAGCACCGGCUAACUCUGUGCCAGCAGCCGCGGUAAUACAGAGGGUGCAAGCGUUAAUCG
Molecule: ribosomal RNA, 542 nt
Filed under: Moraxella catarrhalis
Lineage: Bacteria; Pseudomonadati; Pseudomonadota; Gammaproteobacteria; Moraxellales; Moraxellaceae
Description: bacterial SSU rRNA
Rfam family: Bacterial small subunit ribosomal RNA
Source: RNAcentral